CCGAGUGCGGGCCCGCUCUGGGCCCAACCUCCCACCCGUGUCUCUUGCGUACUUUGUUGCUUUGGCGGGCCCACUGGGUCCACCUGGUCGCCGGGGAGCGCUAUGUCCCCGGGCCCGCUGCCCGCCAGAGCACCUCUGUGAACCCUGAUGAAGAGAGGGCUGUCUGAGUACCAUGAUAAUUGUCUA
Molecule: unclassified non-coding RNA, 186 nt
Filed under: soil metagenome
Description: partial internal transcribed spacer 1
Source: RNAcentral